UUGGUGCAAGAUGUGCUCUGAGAAUUAUUUAUGGGUCUUCUUUCACAAGUCCGCAAGUUAGAAUCCAUGAGGAUUAUCUGUCAAAAGGAAAACUAUCAAAGAAAGAAUUGAUGGGUAUUAUUCCCCACAAUAUUAAACAUCUAUACAUUAGUAUUCCCGAUUAUGUCUAUGGAAUCCCAUAAGUGGAAGCUUUAUAUGGUCAAGACCACAAAUAUCCGAACGUGUAAUCUCUUAUUUUCGGGUCGUCUGUGAUAAAUCUAAG
RNAcentral lists this long non-coding RNA (262 nucleotides) under Gossypium barbadense (sea-island cotton). Its description in RNAcentral is "long non-coding RNA (GBAR_LNC018375)". Lineage: Eukaryota; Viridiplantae; Streptophyta; Magnoliopsida; Malvales; Malvaceae. The record is from RNAcentral.